GACGAACGCUGGCGGCGUGCUUAACACAUGCAAGUCGAACGGAAAGGCCUUGCUUUUGUGGGGUGCUCGAGUGGCGAACGGGUGAGUAACACGUGAGUAACCUGCCCUUGACUUUGGGAUAACUUCAGGAAACUGGGGCUAAUACCGGAUAGGAGCUCCUGCUGCAUGGUGGGGGUUGGAAAGUUUCGGCGGUUGGGGAUGGACUCGCGGCUUAUCAGCUUGUUGGUGGGGUAGUGGCUUACCAAGGCUUUGACGGGUAGCCGGCCUGAGAGGGUGACCGGCCACAUUGGGACUGAGAUACGGCCCAGACUCCUACGGGAGGCAGCAGUGGGGAAUAUUGCACAAUGGGCGGAAGCCUGAUGCAGCAACGCCGCGUGCGGGAUGACGGCCUUCGGGUUGUAAACCGCUUUCGCCUGUGACGAAGCGUAAGUGACGGUAAUGGGUAAAGAAGCACCGGCUAACUACGUG
RNAcentral lists this ribosomal RNA (468 nucleotides) under uncultured bacterium. Its description in RNAcentral is "partial 16S ribosomal RNA". It matches the Rfam family "Bacterial small subunit ribosomal RNA", at positions 28 to 507 of the family's 1533-position model. The record is from RNAcentral.